Molecule: non-coding RNA, 75 nt
Filed under: Candidatus Kentrum sp. UNK
Lineage: Bacteria; Pseudomonadati; Pseudomonadota; Gammaproteobacteria
Source: RNAcentral
GAGGGCCGGACGAGCGGAGACGUUCACGUCCGGUUCCGUGAGCGCCUCGGGGGUAGUUCCCCGGGGCGACUCGAC